UACGGAGGAUGCGAGCGUUAUCCGGAUUUAUUGGGUUUAAAGGGUGCGUAGGCGGAUCGUUAAGUCAGUGGUCAAAUUGAGGGGCUCAACCCCUUCCCGCCAUUGAAACUGGCGAUCUUGAGUGGAAGAGAAGUAUGCGGAAUGCGUGGUGUAGCGGUGAAAUGCAUAGAUAUCACGCAGAACCCCGAUUGCGAAGGCAGCAUGCCGGCUUCCGACUGACGCUGAAGCUCGAAAGCGUGGGGAGCAAACAGG
Molecule: ribosomal RNA, 252 nt
Filed under: uncultured bacterium
Lineage: Bacteria
Description: partial 16S ribosomal RNA
Rfam family: Bacterial small subunit ribosomal RNA
Source: RNAcentral